This 440-nucleotide ribosomal RNA is filed under the name uncultured bacterium. Its description in RNAcentral is "partial 16S ribosomal RNA". It matches the Rfam family "Bacterial small subunit ribosomal RNA", at positions 338 to 795 of the family's 1533-position model. The record is from RNAcentral.
CCUACGGGAGGCAGCAGUGGGGAAUAUUGCACAAUGGGGGAAACCCUGAUGCAGCGACGCCGCGUGAGUGAAGAAGUAUUUCGGUAUGUAAAGCCCUAUCAGCAGGGAAGAAAAUGACGGUACCUGAUUAAGAAGCCCCGGCUAACUACGUGCCAGCAGCCGCGGUCAUACGUAGGGGGCAAGCGUUAUCCGGAUUUACUGGGUGUAAAGGGAGCGUAGACGGCAGCGCAAGUCUGAAGUGAAAGGCCGGGGCUUAACCCCGGGACUGCUUUGGAAACUGUGGGGCUAGAGUGCAGGAGAGGUAAGUGGAAUUCCUGGUGUAGCGGUGAAAUGCGUAGAUAUUAGGAGGAACACCAGUGGCGAAGGCAGCAUACUGGACUGUAACUGACGUUGAGGCUCGAAAGCGUGGGUAGCGAACAGGAUUAGAUACCCGAGUAGUC